GACGAACGCUGGCGGCGUGCUUAACACAUGCAAGUCGAACGGAAAGGCCCUGCCUUUGUGGGGUGCUCGAGUGGCGAACGGGUGAGUAACACGUUAGUAACCUGCCCUUGACUUUGGGAUAACUUCAGGAAACUGGGGCUAAUACCGGAUAGGAGCUCCGGCUGCAUGGUGGGGGUUGGAAAGUUUCGGCGGUUGGGGAUGGACUCGCGGCUUAUCAGCUUGUUGGUGGGGUAGUGGCUUACCAAGGCUUUGACGGGUAGCCGGCCUGAGAGGGUGACCGGCCACAUUGGGACUGAGAUACGGCCCAGACUCCUACGGGAGGCAGCAGUGGGGAAUAUUGCACAAUGGGCGGAAGCCUGAUGCAGCAACGCCGCGUGCGGGAUGACGGCCUUCGGGUUGUAAACCGCUUUCGCCUGUGACGAAGCGUGAGUGACGGUAAUGGGUAAAGAAGCACCGGCUAACUACGUG
This 468-nucleotide ribosomal RNA is filed under the name uncultured bacterium. RNAcentral describes it as "partial 16S ribosomal RNA". It matches the Rfam family "Bacterial small subunit ribosomal RNA", at positions 28 to 507 of the family's 1533-position model. The record is from RNAcentral.